This 459-nucleotide ribosomal RNA is filed under the name uncultured bacterium. RNAcentral describes it as "partial 16S ribosomal RNA". It matches the Rfam family "Bacterial small subunit ribosomal RNA", at positions 338 to 795 of the family's 1533-position model. The record is from RNAcentral.
CCUACGGGCGGCAGCAGUGAGGAAUAUUGGUCAAUGGGCGGGAGCCUGAACCAGCCAAGCCGCGUGAGGGAAGAAGGUACAGCGUAUUGUAAACCUCUUUUGUCAGGGCACAAAGGCGGGGACUAGUCCCCGGAUGAGGGUACCUGAAGAAAAAGCAUCGGCUAACUCCGUGCCAGCAGCCGCGGUAAUACGGAGGAUGCGAGCGUUAUCCGGAUUUAUUGGGUUUAAAGGGUGCGCAGGCGGCCUGUUAAGUCAGCGGUAAAAUCCCGGGGCUCAACCGCGGCUAGCCGUUGAAACUGGCGGUCUUGAGUAGGGGAGAAGUACGCGGAAUGCGCGGUGUAGCGGUGAAAUGCUUAGAUAUCGCGCAGAACCCCGAUUGCGAAGGCAGCGUGCCGGCUCCACACUGACGCUGAGGCACGAAAGCGUGGGUAUCGAACAGGAUUAGAUACCCCUGUAGUC